GUAGCUUGCUACACCAUAGACUGUGAGUUGCGAACGGGUGAGUAACGCGUAGGUAACCUGCCUGGUAGCGGGGGAUAACUAUUGGAAACGAUAGCUAAUACCGCAUAAUAUUGAUUAUUGCAUGAUAAUUGAUUGAAAGAUGCUAUUGCAUCACUACCAGAUGGACCUGCGUUGUAUUAGCUAGUAGGUGAGGUAACGGCUCACCUAGGCGACGAUACAUAGCCGACCUGAGAGGGUGAUCGGCCACACUGGGACUGAGACACGGCCCAGACUCCUACGGGAGGCAGCAGUAGGGAAUCUUCGGCAAUGGACGAAAGUCUGACCGAGCAACGCCGCGUGAGUGAAGAAGGUUUUCGGAUCGUAAAGCUCUGUUGUAAGAGAAGAACGGGUGUGAGAGUGGAAAGUUCACACUGUGACGGUAUCUUACCAGAAAGGGACGGCUAACUACGUGCCAGCAGCCGCGGUAAUACGUAGGUCCCGAGCGUUGUCCGGAUUUAUUGGGCGUAAAGCGAGCGCAGGCGGUUAGAUAAGUCUGAAGUUAAAGGCUGUGGCUUAACCAUAGUACGCUUUGGAAACUGUUUAACUUGAGUGCAGAAGGGGAGAGUGGAAUUCCAUGUGUAGCGGUGAAAUGCGUAGAUAUAUGGAGGAACACCGGUGGCGAAAGCGGCUCUCUGGUCUGUAACUGACGCUGAGGCUCGAAAGCGUGGGGAGCGAACAGGAUUAGAUACCCUGGUAGUCCACGCCGUAAACGAUGAGUGCUAGGUGUUAGGCCCUUUCCGGGGCUUAGUGCCGCAGCUAACGCAUUAAGCACUCCGCCUGGGGAGUACGACCGCAAGGUUGAAACUCAAAGGAAUUGACGGGGGCCCGCACAAGCGGUGGAGCAUGUGGUUUAAUUCGAAGCAACGCGAAGAACCUUACCAGGUCUUGACAUCCCGAUGCCCGCUCUAGAGAUAGAGUUUUACUUCGGUACAUCGGUGACAGGUGGUGCAUGGUUGUCGUCAGCUCGUGUCGUGAGAUGUUGGGUUAAGUCCCGCAACGAGCGCAACCCUUAUUGUUAGUUGCCAUCAUUCAGUUGGGCACUCUAGCGAGACUGCCGGUAAUAAACCGGAGGAAGGUGGGGAUGACGUCAAAUCAUCAUGCCCCUUAUGACCUGGGCUACACACGUGCUACAAUGGCUGGUACAACGAGUCGCAAGUCGGUGACGACAAGCUAAUCUCUUAAAGCCAGUCUCAGUUCGGAUUGUAGGCUGCAACUCGCCUACAUGAAGUCGGAAUCGCUAGUAAUCGCGGAUCAGCACGCCGCGGUGAAUACGUUCCCGGGCCUUGUACACACCGCCCGUCACACCACGAGAGUUUGUAACACCCGA
This 1366-nucleotide ribosomal RNA is filed under the name Streptococcus gordonii. RNAcentral describes it as "bacterial SSU rRNA". It matches the Rfam family "Bacterial small subunit ribosomal RNA", at positions 75 to 1424 of the family's 1533-position model. The record is from RNAcentral. Lineage: Bacteria; Bacillati; Bacillota; Bacilli; Lactobacillales; Streptococcaceae.